Molecule: transfer RNA, 75 nt
Filed under: candidate division WWE3 bacterium CG08_land_8_20_14_0_20_41_10
Lineage: Bacteria; candidate division WWE3
Description: tRNA-Trp
Rfam family: tRNA
About the family: Transfer RNA (tRNA) molecules are approximately 80 nucleotides in length. Their secondary structure includes four short double-helical elements and three loops (D, anti-codon, and T loops).
Source: RNAcentral
GAGUGGGUAGUUCAGCGGCUAGAACUCUCGUCUCCAAAACGAGAAACACAAGUUCGAUUCUUGUCCCACUCACCA